CUACGGCGAGUGAAGAGGGAAGAGCCCAAGAUUGAAAGCUGGCGUCUUCGGCGUCCGCAUUGUAAUCUCAAGAAGUGUUUUCCGCUUCGGACCAUGCCUAAGUCCCUUGGAAAAGGGCAUCAUAGAGGGUGAUAAUCCCGUACAUGGCAUGGAGCGCCCGAAGCUUUGUGAUACGCUUUCUAAGAGUCGAGUUGUUUGGGAAUGCAGCUCAAAAUGGGUGGUAAAUGCCAUCUAAGGCUAAAUAUUGGGGAGAGACCGAUAGCGAACAAGUACAGUGAUGGAAAGAUGAAAAGAACUUUGAAAAGAGAGUUAAACAGUACGUGAAAUUGCCAAAAGGGAAGGGUAGGAGGUCAGAGAUGCGGCCUGGGAUUCAGCCUUGCUUUUGCUUGGUGUUUUUCCCAGAUUGCAGGCCAACGUCGGUUUUGGGCACUGGAGAAGGGUAGGAGGAACGUGGCACCUCUCGGGGUGUGUUAUAGCCUCCUACUGGAUACAGCGACCGAGACCGAGGACAGCAGCGUACUCGCAAGAGCGGGCCUUCGGGCACCUUUACGCUUAGGGCGUUGGCAUAAUGGCCCUCUACCACCCGUCUUGA
Molecule: ribosomal RNA, 592 nt
Filed under: uncultured Pseudozyma
Lineage: Eukaryota; Fungi; Basidiomycota; Ustilaginomycetes; Ustilaginales; Ustilaginaceae
Description: eukaryotic LSU rRNA
Rfam family: Eukaryotic large subunit ribosomal RNA
Source: RNAcentral